GGAGACAGGGUAUCCAAGGGACUAACUCCACACUACCAAAUGAUGUUCUCUCAUGGUCAAAGUGAAGGGCAGUGUUGGGAGCUCUAAGAAGAGAACAAAGAUGGGGAUGUUCAAGACUACUGAUGUUGUUAAGACUUUAGAAACUUUCAGGGAGAGUUGACAAGAUGUAAUCUUCACACUGAUGACAAAGAGAUGCCUUCUUUCUCCCAGGAGUUCUUACAGAGGAACCAGACAGGCACUGGCCUGAAAAUUCUGCACCUUCAGCAAACACCCUUCUGAUCUCUUGGGAAGCUAAUAUUGCUAAAGAGUCAGAAGAAAGUAUAAGGAUGGCUCAUGGAUAGGAAUAAAAUGAUU
Molecule: long non-coding RNA, 354 nt
Organism: Sarcophilus harrisii (Tasmanian devil)
Lineage: Eukaryota; Metazoa; Chordata; Mammalia; Dasyuromorphia; Dasyuridae
Exons: 3
Source: RefSeq, a predicted model, not a curated record